RNAcentral lists this ribosomal RNA (513 nucleotides) under uncultured bacterium. RNAcentral describes it as "bacterial SSU rRNA". It matches the Rfam family "Bacterial small subunit ribosomal RNA", at positions 34 to 518 of the family's 1533-position model. The record is from RNAcentral.
CGCUGGCGGCGUGCCUAAUACAUGCAAGUCGAACGGUCUUUCUAUGGAAGCUUGCCUCCACCGAGAAGAUAGUGGCGAACGGGUGAGUAACACGUGGGGUAACCUGCCCAUAAGAGGGGGGAUAACAUCCGGAAACGGGUGCUAAUACCGCAUAGUUUUCUUGAUCGCAUGAUCGGGAAAGGAAAGACGGCCUUUGUGCUGUCGCUUAUGGAUGGACCCGCGGCGUAUUAGUUAGUUGGUGAGGUAACGGCUCACCAAGACGAUGAUACGUAGCCGACCUGAGAGGGUGAUCGGCCACAUUGGGACUGAGACACGGCCCAAACUCCUACGGGAGGCAGCAGUAGGGAAUCUUCCGCAAUGGACGAAAGUCUGACGGAGCAACGCCGCGUGAGUGAAAGAAGGUUUUCGGAUCGUAAAACUCUGUUGUCAGAGAAGAACAAGUUGGAGAGUAACUGCUCCAGCCUUGACGGUAUCUGACCAGAAAGCCACGGCUAACUACGUGCCAGCCGCGGC